ACGCGAAGAACCUUACCAAGGCUUGACAUACUACAGAUUUCUUUGAAAAAGGAAAGUGCCUUCGGGAAUGUAGAUACAGGUGGUGCAUGGCUGUCGUCAGCUCGUGUCGUGAGAUGUUGGGUUAAGUCCCGCAACGAGCGCAACCCUUAUUUUUAGUUGCUAAUUUAGUUUAGGUUUUCUAGAAAGACUGCCGGUGACAAACCGGAGGAAGGUGAGGAUGACGUCAAGUCAGCAUGCCCCUUAUGCCUUGGGCUACACACGUGCUACAAUGGUUAAGACAAAGAGUUGCGAGCUCGUGAGAGUCAGCUAAUCUCAUAAACUUAGCCUAAGUUCGGAUUGUAGGCUGCAACUCGCCUUCAUGAAGUCGGAAUCGCUAGUAAUCGCUGGUCAGCCAUACAGCGGUGAAUCCGUUCCCGGGCCUUGUACACACCGCCCGUCACACCAUGGGAGCUGGUCAUGCCCGAAACCGUUAGCUUAACCUUUAUGGAGAG
RNAcentral lists this ribosomal RNA (491 nucleotides) under uncultured Dinophysis. RNAcentral describes it as "bacterial SSU rRNA". It matches the Rfam family "Bacterial small subunit ribosomal RNA", at positions 959 to 1450 of the family's 1533-position model. Lineage: Eukaryota; Dinophyceae; Dinophysales; Dinophysaceae. The record is from RNAcentral.